GAAUGUUUUGCAGUAGCAAGAACUUUGAAAAUUGAGUUUGAUUUAAUUUGAGAAAUUGAAUUUAAGUGUGCAUUUAACUGGACCAAAUCUGAAGUUAAUUGUUGCUUGGGGACAAGCAUUAGAUUAAAUUUGGGGUUGUGAUGACUCUUUAUCAUAUGCAUAUUUUCCCACUGUUUUAGUCUUAUUUAUCCUCAAUCAUCAGUUAAAUUAAGGAUUUAUUUGAUAUAUUUUGUUGAUUUUUGUUCUUUG
Molecule: long non-coding RNA, 249 nt
Filed under: Cicer arietinum (chickpea)
Lineage: Eukaryota; Viridiplantae; Streptophyta; Magnoliopsida; Fabales; Fabaceae
Description: long non-coding RNA (CARI_LNC003245)
Source: RNAcentral